RNAcentral lists this ribosomal RNA (460 nucleotides) under uncultured bacterium. Its description in RNAcentral is "partial 16S ribosomal RNA". It matches the Rfam family "Bacterial small subunit ribosomal RNA", at positions 338 to 795 of the family's 1533-position model. The record is from RNAcentral.
CCUACGGGCGGCAGCAGUGAGGAAUAUUGGUCAAUGGGCGUAAGCCUGAACCAGCCAAGUCGCGUGAGGGAUGAAGGUUCUAUGGAUCGUAAACCUCUUUUAUAAGGGAAUAAAGUGCGGGACGUGUCCCGCUUUGUAUGUACCUUAUGAAUAAGGAUCGGCUAACUCCGUGCCAGCAGCCGCGGUAAUACGGAGGAUCCGAGCGUUAUCCGGAUUUAUUGGGUUUAAAGGGUGCGUAGGCGGCCUUGUAAGUCAGCGGUGAAAGGCUGUGGCUCAACCAUAGAAUUGCCGUUGAAACUGGGAGGCUUGAGUAUGUUUGAGGCAGGCGGAAUGCGUGGUGUAGCGGUGAAAUGCUUAGAUAUCACGCAGAACCCCGAUGGCGAAGGCAGCCUGCCAAGCCAUGACUGACGCUGAGGCACGAAGGCGUGGGGAUCAAACAGGAUUAGAUACCCCUGUAGUC